GCUUAUUACAAACUUGAUUGAAUGGGACUUGGAUUAAAAAGAGAGUAACAGAAUCACAAGCUCAAAAAUAUUGGAAACGAAGUUAUUAAUUAAACAGUGCGUAGUUUUAUCGAAGUUGUAAAAACACAAUUGAUUAAUUAAUGUACUCCACAUGCAAGUCACUUGAAGUAGAAGAGAUUAAAGUGAAAUUAGCUUAAUUCUUCAGUUAAAUAUCUCAAACAUUAAUUAACAAUGAAUUAAUUAAUUAGAUUUCAUUACUCAUCAUAGUCUUGCUUUGCAUCAUGGAGUUCUUGCAAUGAGCGAUUGCACCUUGAAUAGCACUCUGCAACUCCUCCAUGGAUGAUUUAUCUGCAUAGUGCAUACCACCAGCGAUCCUAUUACUUGUGGCUGAAUCCAUGAAUCCUUUUCUACAAAGGACGCCAGAGUGGCUGGGAGAUGACCUCAUGGACGAUGGGCAGCUUGAAACGUAGCUUCUCCUUCUUGGGUACCUCAGGUUUCCCGAGAAAGAGUGGGAAAAUUCUCGGUUGCUUUCUUUGCUUGGAUUCUUGACAGAGUAGUCAUCAGAUCUCUCCGAUUUGAUGGAAAAUGAGACGCUGCUAAUUGGUGCUGUUCUCAUUGGAUUUACACCUCCCAUUUUUUGCUGUUGUUUCUGGGAAAGUUUCUCGUACAAUGGCUUCACUUUCUUCAAGUACUUCCUUAUCACCUCCUUUGCUGUAGCGCUCAUUCUUUUCACUGAAGAACUAGAUAAAGCAUCGUUUUCGCGGUUCUUGGGCUCCUUCUUGAACACAGAAGAGAAUCUCGAUAGAGAGAAGUACUUAUUGCUCUUCUUGAUCUGGGAAUUCAAGUGAACAUGGGUUUGAAAAUGAGGAGGGUAGGCGUUGUUAAGCCGCUUGAACUCAUCGUCUUCGGUGACAGAACUGGGUCUUGAAGAGUCACACUCUCCAAGCAAGACAAGAUCGCUACUGAAGGAGCAGGUGGAGUCGUUGGAGCUGCCGGUAGAGUUGCGAGAGGCGGUGGUGGUGGUGUCAGAAGAGGAAGAUGUGCUUGAAGAGGCUAAGAGGAGUGUACGAACCAUGGAAAUGCGGGGGUAGAGAUGGAGAGGCAAGAGCUGACCCUUGUAGAAAAGCUCGUCUGCUGGGCACAGAGCUGUGGAAGAUUUGCGUGGAGACAGAGAGGUGCUGAACUCAAAAUCUGAGGAAGAGGAAGAGAAAGAGUGAGAAGGUGAUGAGGGUAGAGUUUGGGAUGAUCUCGAAUCUUUGUCUUUUCUUUUUCCCAUCUUUGUUUGCUACAUUAUCUGCAUAAUACGAU
Molecule: unclassified non-coding RNA, 1308 nt
Filed under: Hevea brasiliensis (rubber tree)
Lineage: Eukaryota; Viridiplantae; Streptophyta; Magnoliopsida; Malpighiales; Euphorbiaceae
Source: RNAcentral